GAUGAACGCUAGCGGCAGGCUUAAUACAUGCAAGUCGUGGGGCAGCGCAGUCCCGCAGCAAUGCGGGAUGGGCGGCGACCGGCAAACGGGUGCGGAACACGUACGCAACCUUCCUUCAAGUGGAGAAUAGCCCAGGGAAACUUGGAUUAAUACUCCGUAACAUUACGAGGUGGCAUCACUUUGUAAUUAUAGCUCCGGCGCUUGAAGAUGGGCGUGCGCCUGAUUAGGUAGUUGGCGGGGUAACGGCCCACCAAGCCUACGAUCAGUAACUGGUGUGAGAGCACGACCAGUCACACGGGCACUGAGACACGGGCCCGACUCCUACGGGAGGCGGCAGUAAGGAAUAUUGGUCAAUGGACGCAAGUCUGAACCAGCCAUGCCGCGUGGAGGAUGAAGGUCCUCUGGAUUGUAAACUUCUUUUAUCUGGGAAGAAACCCAAGGUUUCUACUUUGGUUGACGGUACCAGAUGAAUAAGCACCGGCUAACUCCGUGCCAGCAGCCGCCGUAA
This 508-nucleotide ribosomal RNA is filed under the name uncultured bacterium. Its description in RNAcentral is "partial 16S ribosomal RNA". It matches the Rfam family "Bacterial small subunit ribosomal RNA", at positions 28 to 523 of the family's 1533-position model. The record is from RNAcentral.